RNAcentral lists this ribosomal RNA (227 nucleotides) under uncultured bacterium. Its description in RNAcentral is "partial 16S ribosomal RNA". It matches the Rfam family "Bacterial small subunit ribosomal RNA", at positions 107 to 334 of the family's 1533-position model. The record is from RNAcentral.
UGAGUAACACGUAUCCAACCUGCCGUCUACUCUUGGACAGCCUUCUGAAAGGAAGAUUAAUACAAGAUGGCAUCAUGAGUCCGCAUGUUCACAUGAUUAAAGGUAUUCCGGUAGACGAUGGGGAUGCGUUCCAUUAGAUAGUAGGCGGGGUAACGGCCCACCUAGUCUUCGAUGGGUAGGGGUUCUGAGAGGAAGGUCCCCCACAUUGGAACUGAGACACGGUCCAA